This 497-nucleotide ribosomal RNA is filed under the name uncultured bacterium. Its description in RNAcentral is "partial 16S ribosomal RNA". It matches the Rfam family "Bacterial small subunit ribosomal RNA", at positions 28 to 507 of the family's 1533-position model. The record is from RNAcentral.
GAUGAACGCUGGCGGCGUGCCUAAUACAUGCAAGUCGAGCGAACGGACGAGAAGCUUGCUUUUCUGAUGUUAGUGGCGGACGGGUGAGUAACACGUGGAUAACCUACCUAUAAGACUGGGAUAACUUCGGGAAACCGGAGCUAAUACCGGAUAAUAUUUUGAACCGCAUGGUUCAAAAGUGAAAGACGGUCUUGCUGUCACUUAUAGAUGGAUCCGCGCUGCAUUAGCUAGUUGGUAAGGUAACGGCUUACCAAGGCAACGAUGCAUAGCCGACCUGAGAGGGUGAUCGGCCACACUGGAACUGAGACACGGUCCAGACUCCUACGGGAGGCAGCAGUAGGGAAUCUUCCGCAAUGGGCGAAAGCCUGACGGAGCAACGCCGCGUGAGUGAUGAAGGUCUUCGGAUCGUAAAACUCUGUUAUUAGGGAAGAACAUAUGUGUAAGUAACUGUGCACAUCUUGACGGUACCUAAUCAGAAAGCCGCGGCUAACUACGUG